UAUCAAAAUACAAUAUUAUUAUAAUAUAAAAUUAUUAAAUUUCAAUCACAGACCACAGUUCUUACUUGUUUUCUGAUUUCUAACGUUCUGAGUUUUUGCCAUUCUCUAUUUUUGUGUAGUCAGUAGUGUACCUUCAAUCUUCAUAGUAGUCAAUUUUAUUUCCAAUAUUGAUAUUUUCUACGACAUCUAGAACAGAACCAGUCCAGACCAGACCUUUUCCCGCUUACGCAUCAACUUUGUCCAUCAUGAACACCAAAAUGAUCGUUCGGUUUUAUCAGACAGUAAAACCUCAUCAGCCAUUAAUCCAGUUUAGACAUGGCGUCCCAGUGAUAAAUAAAUCUGAAUCAACUCCGUCACCUUCUACAGUUGGUGCUGUGCAAACGAUGGAAGACUAUCAACUACCUACAAAAUUUAAAAGAGUAAUGAUGGAUGAUGCCGAAAUCAAUGCUAUUAAUAGUGGUGGAGCUGAAUGAAGUUUUGAAUUACGUUUUAACUCAUAUUUAUACUAAAUAUUUAGUAAAAAAAUAUAAAAGCAAAAUGAUUUAAUAUAUUUACACAGUAUUAAGGUACCUACUUAUUAACUUAUUAAUAAUUAUAAUGUAUGUAUAAUACCUACUAUGAUAUAUAUUUUUUAAUUUGACUGAAUUAAUAAAGUUAUAAAAAAUUAAA
This is a long non-coding RNA of Acyrthosiphon pisum (pea aphid), 669 nucleotides long. RefSeq lists it as uncharacterized. The transcript has 5 exons. NCBI's taxonomy places the organism in Eukaryota, Metazoa, Arthropoda, Insecta, Hemiptera, Aphididae. The record is from RefSeq and is a predicted model, not a curated record.